GAUGAAGAACGUAGCGAAAUGCGAUAAGUAAUGUGAAUUGCAGAAUUCCGUGAAUCAUCGAAUCUUUGAACGCACAUUGCGCCCUCUGGUAUUCCGGGGGGCAUGCCUGUUCGAGCGUCAUUACAACCCUCAAGCUUUGCUUGGUAUUGGACAUUGCCAGUUUCUGGCAGGUCUUAAAAUCAGUGGCGGUGCCAUUUGGCUUCAAGCGUAGUAAUUCUUCUCGCUUUGGAGAUCCAGGUGGUUACUUGCCAAUAACCCCCAAUUUUUUCAGGUUGACCUCGGAUCAGGUAGGGAUACCCGCUGAACUUAAGCAUAUCAAUAAGCUGAGGA
Molecule: unclassified non-coding RNA, 330 nt
Filed under: soil metagenome
Description: partial contains 5.8S ribosomal RNA, internal transcribed spacer 2, and large subunit ribosomal RNA
Rfam family: 5.8S ribosomal RNA (bases 1-120)
Source: RNAcentral